UGAGGAAUCUUGCGCAAUGGGGGAAACCCUGACGCAGCAACGCCGCGUGAGUGAGGAAGGUCUUCGGAUCGUAAAGCUCUGUCGGGUGGAAAGAAGUGGGGAAAGGUGAACAGCCUUUCUCCUUGACGGUACCACCGAAGGAAGCACCGGCUAACUCCGUGCCAGCAGCCGCGGUAAUACGGAGGGUGCGAGCGUUGUUCGGAAUCAUUGGGCGUAAAGAGCGUGUAGGCGGCUUGGCAAGUCAGAUGUGAAAUCCCUGGGCUCAACCCAGGAAGUGCAUUUGAAACUGCCCUGCUGGAGUAUGGGAGAGGGAAGUGGAAUUCCUGGUGUAGAGGUGAAAUUCGUAGAUAUCAGGAGGAACACCCGUGGCGAAGGCGACUUCCUGGCCCAAUACUGACGCUGAGACGCGAGAGCGUGGGGAGCAAACAG
RNAcentral lists this ribosomal RNA (429 nucleotides) under uncultured bacterium. Its description in RNAcentral is "bacterial SSU rRNA". It matches the Rfam family "Bacterial small subunit ribosomal RNA", at positions 355 to 775 of the family's 1533-position model. The record is from RNAcentral.